This 1138-nucleotide ribosomal RNA is filed under the name Microbacterium aquimaris. Its description in RNAcentral is "bacterial SSU rRNA". It matches the Rfam family "Bacterial small subunit ribosomal RNA", at positions 185 to 1334 of the family's 1533-position model. The record is from RNAcentral. Lineage: Bacteria; Bacillati; Actinomycetota; Actinomycetes; Micrococcales; Microbacteriaceae.
AUCGCAUGGUGGGGGUUGGAAAGAUUUUUCGGUUUGGGAUGGGCUCGCGGCCUAUCAGCUUGUUGGUGAGGUAAUGGCUCACCAAGGCGUCGACGGGUAGCCGGCCUGAGAGGGUGACCGGCCACACUGGGACUGAGACACGGCCCAGACUCCUACGGGAGGCAGCAGUGGGGAAUAUUGCACAAUGGGCGCAAGCCUGAUGCAGCAACGCCGCGUGAGGGAUGACGGCCUUCGGGUUGUAAACCUCUUUUGGUAGGGAAGAAGCCUUCGGGUGACGGUACCUGCAGAAAAAGCGCCGGCUAACUACGUGCCAGCAGCCGCGGUAAUACGUAGGGCGCAAGCGUUAUCCGGAAUUAUUGGGCGUAAAGAGCUCGUAGGCGGUCUGUCGCGUCUGCUGUGAAAUUCCGAGGCUCAACCUCGGGCUUGCAGUGGGUACGGGCAGACUAGAGUGCGGUAGGGGAGAUUGGAAUUCCUGGUGUAGCGGUGGAAUGCGCAGAUAUCAGGAGGAACACCGAUGGCGAAGGCAGAUCUCUGGGCCGUUACUGACGCUGAGGAGCGAAAGGGUGGGGAGCAAACAGGCUUAGAUACCCUGGUAGUCCACCCCGUAAACGUUGGGAACUAGUUGUGGGGUCCUUUCCACGGAUUCCGUGACGUAGCUAACGCAUUAAGUUCCCCGCCUGGGGAGUACGGCCGCAAGGCUAAAACUCAAAGGAAUUGACGGGGACCCGCACAAGCGGCGGAGCAUGCGGAUUAAUUCGAUGCAACGCGAAGAACCUUACCAAGGCUUGACAUACCCCAGAACGGGCCAGAAAUGGUCAACUCUUUGGACACUGGUGAACAGGUGGUGCAUGGUUGUCGUCAGCUCGUGUCGUGAGAUGUUGGGUUAAGUCCCGCAACGAGCGCAACCCUCGUUNUAUGUUGCCAGCACGUUAUGGUGGGAACUCAUGGGAUACUGCCGGGGUCAACUCGGAGGAAGGUGGGGAUGACGUCAAAUCAUCAUGCCCCUUAUGUCUUGGGCUUCACGCAUGCUACAAUGGCCGGUACAAUGGGCUGCGAUACCGCGAGGUGGAGCGAAUCCCAAAAAGCCGGUCCCAGUUCGGAUUGAGGUCUGCAACUCGACCUCAUGAAGUCGGAGUCG